AGAGAAGUCUAUUCACACAGGCUGUGUGAACAGCAUUUCCCCUGGGGUCGUGCAGUGCUCAGUCCAAGAGCUUGAUACAGAGGUGAUGAACUUUUAUCUUCCCUAACAGGAACUUCAUCACAACUACCAUAUCCUUAGAGUUAUUCACUCUGAUUUUAUUGGCUAGAAGUCAAAUAGUCCUGUGUACAGCACAGAGCUUUGCAUAUGACAACAAAGGAAGUUGUUUUAAAUUCCUUUUAAAUGUCCUUUUACAAUCAGCUUCCCCGAUUUUCUGUCUUCCAGCACUUGAGUUAAUCAAAGUGCCAGAUGUCUACAUUUCGAUGAAGACUAUAUCCCAUCCACCCUAAAGAAGAUUCAAAAAUGUAUAAUAAGUUGUUCCAGAACCAAAAGACACAGUAGUUCCAUCAGCCAUCCCCUGAAGCCAGGCAAUUACGAUGCUAAAUUGAGCAGUAUUUCCUUCCCCGAAUGAGUGAUCAGCGGCAUUGACAUAAUUCAGUAUUGUGACUCACUUAUGUAAAAUACCUUUGAUCACCAAGGAUAACAUAAUAAUUGUUUUAGCAGCUUGCCUGUCACACAUUACAUUCUUUUAAAAAAGGAAAUAAAUGAAUACCUGUCAGCCCCCAAAGGAAAAAGUGGAAAAUAUCCAUUCAUUGAAAUACUGAAAACUUUGACACAUUUAGAAUUUUUAAAACAUUACAAGGUUCAUUAACUAAUGUCUAUGUGGGCUGAAUUAUCCAAAAGAGGAUAAUAAAAUGAAAUCCUUAAAAAAAAGGGAUGGAUAUUUGGACACUCUCAUUAGUUUGCACUAAUUUAUAAUGAAA
Molecule: long non-coding RNA, 821 nt
Filed under: Bos taurus (domestic cattle)
Lineage: Eukaryota; Metazoa; Chordata; Mammalia; Artiodactyla; Bovidae
Description: long non-coding RNA NONBTAT019379
Source: RNAcentral